Molecule: ribosomal RNA, 368 nt
Filed under: uncultured organism
Description: bacterial SSU rRNA
Rfam family: Bacterial small subunit ribosomal RNA
Source: RNAcentral
CGGAGGGUGCAAGCGUUAUCCGGAUUCACUGGGUUUAAAGGGAGCGCAGGCGGACCUGUAAGUCAGUGGUGAAAUACCUGAGCUUAACUCGGGAACUGCCAUUGAUACUAUCGGUCUUGAAUGUUGUUGAGGUUUGCGGAAUGGGUCAUGUAGCGGUGAAAUGCAUAGAUAUGACCCGGAACACCUAUUGCGAAGGCAGCGGGCUAAACAAAUAUUGACGCUGAGGCUCGAAAGCGUGGGGAUCAAACAGGAUUAGAUACCCUGGUAGUCCACGCCCUAAACGAUGAUUACUCGACAUACGCGAUACACUGUGUGUGUCUGAGCGAAAGCAUUAAGUAAUCCACCUGGGAAGUACGACCGCAAGGUUG